CACCAAAUAACACAGAUUAGUUAUUAUGAUUUUAAAAGCCUAAUUUCCAAUAGCAUUAAAUCCAACACCAGUUAUAUGUUGUAUAUAACUAAAAUUUUGAAAGCCUUGCACACAAAAUGAGAGACUUAUUAAAAAAUGCCUUUUUUUUUCUUUUUGCCAAAAAAGGUUCUACAACUCAUUGCUAAUUAUUAUAUUCCUUUAGGGGUACUUUGAGGCGCUUUCAAAGACGUAUUUGUAGCAGUUACAUCUAAAUUAGAGCAGAACAUUGUGUCAGAUAUUUUGCUAUAUCACAAAAUGUUGUAGUACUGUAUUUUAUAAUAAAACCAAGUUAUCAAGUAUUCUGGUAUAUUACAUAUUAUUAUGCCAAAAAAAUCACUUU
RNAcentral lists this long non-coding RNA (379 nucleotides) under Bos taurus (domestic cattle). RNAcentral describes it as "long non-coding RNA NONBTAT026867". Lineage: Eukaryota; Metazoa; Chordata; Mammalia; Artiodactyla; Bovidae. The record is from RNAcentral.